CAAACUUGAACUUUUGCUUGUCCUCAAGCAAAAUUUACCAAUAAGCAAAUAACUCAACGAUAACAUCUCAUCACAUAGAUCAAUGACCAACUUCACGUUUUCAGAACUUGUAAUUAUAAUGACAAUUCUUAGGCAUUCGCAAGCUCAAAAUUCAACAACACUUAGUCACUCACCAUUACCAAAAACCACAAUUCAUACAAUUGCUUCAAG
RNAcentral lists this long non-coding RNA (210 nucleotides) under Erythranthe guttata (spotted monkey flower). RNAcentral describes it as "long non-coding RNA (EGUT_LNC002301)". The record is from RNAcentral. Lineage: Eukaryota; Viridiplantae; Streptophyta; Magnoliopsida; Lamiales; Phrymaceae.